AGGCGCAGCACAGGUACGUGGGCGGGCGGAUCGUGGUGGCUGCGCUUGCGAGGACCCUGAGGUAGAUUGGGUGGUUUCAACAGGAACGCAUCCACUGUCUGAGAGUUUAAACUUGAUUUUGUGAGGGGACGAACAGCGUGACAAUUAAAAGAAGAUCUGGGAAUCAAAAGCUUCCUGAGGCCUUCACCAGAAGCAGAUGCUGGUGCCGUGCUUCUACAGCCUGCAGAACUGAAGGACUUUACAGCUUCUCUUUCGCAUAUCCAAAUUGCCAGCAUCACCGCUCUUGCACUCCAAGCCAUUAUUAAGUAAAGUAAAGAACACAAACACUGUGAUACUGCUACACUUGAUCUGAUAACCAAGAAGUCUACUAAGUGACUAACAGCAGAGCAACUGGGAACCUAAUUCUGACCAAAAAGGAGGAAUUGUUUGGCUAAUUGGAAGUGACAGAAACCUUGGGAGAAAGCAACCGCAUACCAAGGAUAAUUAUAAGAAGAAGAGAAGACAUGGAGAAGAGGAGGGAGUAGUUGUGACCGUGGAGGCAGAGAAUGGAGUAAUGUGAUCAUAAAUCAAGGAAUGCUGACAGCCACUAAAGCUGGAGAAGGCCAAGGACAGAUAUUCAAUCCUCCCGUAGAAGUACAGCCCUGCUAAUGCAUUGAUUUUGGACUUCUGGCCUCAGAACUGUAAGAGAAUAAAUUUCUAUUGUUUUAAGCC
RNAcentral lists this long non-coding RNA (711 nucleotides) under Homo sapiens (human). Its description in RNAcentral is "HSALNT0327879". Lineage: Eukaryota; Metazoa; Chordata; Mammalia; Primates; Hominidae. The record is from RNAcentral.